This 74-nucleotide ribosomal RNA is filed under the name Jarava leptostachya. Its description in RNAcentral is "5.8S ribosomal RNA". Lineage: Eukaryota; Viridiplantae; Streptophyta; Magnoliopsida; Poales; Poaceae. The record is from RNAcentral.
CGCGAACCAUCGAGUCUUUGAACGCAAGUUGCGCCCGAGGCCACCCGGUUGAGGGCACGCCUGCCUGGGCGUCA